RNAcentral lists this ribosomal RNA (506 nucleotides) under uncultured bacterium. Its description in RNAcentral is "partial 16S ribosomal RNA". It matches the Rfam family "Bacterial small subunit ribosomal RNA", at positions 29 to 523 of the family's 1533-position model. The record is from RNAcentral.
AGUGAACGCUGGCGGUAGGCCUAACACAUGCAAGUCGAACGGCAGCACAGGAGAGCUUGCUCUCUGGGUGGCGAGUGGCGGACGGGUGAGGAAUACAUCGGAAUCUACUCUGUCGUGGGGGAUAACGUAGGGAAACUUACGCUAAUACCGCAUACGACCUACGGGUGAAAGCAGGGGACCUUCGGGCCUUGCGCGAUUGAAUGAGCCGAUGUCGGAUUAGCUAGUUGGCGGGGUAAAGGCCCACCAAGGCGACGAUCCGUAGCCGGUCUGACGGGAUGUUCAGCCACACUGGAACGGAGACACGGUCCGGACUCCUACGGGAGGCAGCAGUGGGGAAUAUUGGACAAUGGGCGCAAGCCUGAUCCAGCCAUACCGCGUGGGUGAAGAAGGCCUUCGGGUUGUAAAGCCCUUUUGUUGGGAAAGAAAUCCAGCUGGCUAAUACCCGGUUGGGAUGACGGUACCCAAAGAAUAAGCACCGGCUAACUUCGUGCCAGCCGCCGCAGUAA